RNAcentral lists this ribosomal RNA (253 nucleotides) under uncultured bacterium. RNAcentral describes it as "partial 16S ribosomal RNA". It matches the Rfam family "Bacterial small subunit ribosomal RNA", at positions 524 to 776 of the family's 1533-position model. The record is from RNAcentral.
GACAGAGGUGCCGAGCGUUAGGCGGAAUCACUGGGCUUAAAGGGUGCGUAGGCGGCGCGACAAGUUGGGUGUGAAAUCCCUCGGCUCAACCGAGGAACUGCGCCCAAAACUGUCGUGCUCGAGGGAGACAGAGGUGAGCGGAACUUAGGGUGGAGCGGUGAAAUGCGUUGAUAUCCUAAGGAACACCGGUGGCGAAAGCGGCUCACUGGGUCUCUUCUGACGCUGAGGCACGAAAGCUAGGGUAGCGAACGGG